GCAUUGUUGGGGUAGUGGUAACCUGGAUCGUUGCCACUGAAUGACGCGGGUUCGAUCCGCCCCGGGUUCGAUUCCCGGACAAUGCA
Molecule: non-coding RNA, 86 nt
Organism: Russula ochroleuca
Lineage: Eukaryota; Fungi; Basidiomycota; Agaricomycetes; Russulales; Russulaceae
Source: the annotation of a GenBank genome assembly